AAGCAUUUCAAACACAAUGAAUGAGAAAAAAAUAAACUGCCCACUGCCAUCUUCAGGACUUACUCCUUCCAGUUAAAAAUGUUGGUCCAAAGAAAAGAGGAAAAAAAAAAAAAAGAAUAGAUUGUAUUUAUGCUGUGUUGUCGGUCAGACAACACACAUGUGCUAUGUAAUCUACGGUUUCCUAGGACUUGUGUGUUGAGGAAAAGAUGGUGGCAGAAUGAGAAUUACAGACCAAGGAAAAGCAAAAGUGUGAAGGCCUUGAGCGAGGAGGAGCAUGAAACUUCAGAAAUGAAAGCAAGUAAAGAGGGUUGGAGUGGAGAGAGAAAGGAGAGAAUGACAGCACACAAGGCUAAUUCUCUGCCUGGAAGACAGGCUAAGGAUUCUGGAUUGUUUCCCAAGAACAAGUGAACAGUUUUAAGAAACAAUAUGAUCCAUUUUUCCCCCUAUUUCAAAUAAAUCCGUUUGCAAUGUGCAGGAUGGUUUGGAGAAGACAGGCAAGACUUGAUGUCAGAAGACUAUUCAGGGGCUAAAGCUCUACUACCAUUUAUAAAUGAAGGGAGUUAUUCUCAUUUAAGUCUCUGAAAUUGAGAUGUACCUACUUAAAAAUUAAUAUUGUUAUCCCUUUUAUUUUUCUGUGGUCGUGAAACAAAUUUGCAAAGAUUAUGACAGUGAGAAGUAUAGUGUGGCUGAUUCUUUUUUACUUCUAUCCUCACAGGUUGUCUAUCCUUGCUCAUUCCUGAGUAUAGGCCAAGCUAACCAUAGGAGGAAUUUAUAGAGUAACUUUGAAGCAAGGAUGACAACAGUCUCUUCCUAAAACUAACCCCCUCCUUGAGGGACUGACAUCACCUUUGUAAAACUAAUUAAAACCACAUAAUUAGGAUUAUGGAGAGGGCUAAAUUCUGCUAAGAUGUAGGCAUAGUUUCUAUAAUCCCUUACUAGCCAUGAGUCAUGUGGCCUGAGGUCACAAGAUUUGUGACUUCACCAAUUGCUCCUAUAUAAAAAAUCACUAUUGUAGAACCUAAUAUUGACAUUUUAAUUUGUUUUUCAUACUUUUGCUUUCUGGUAAUUGACCCCACCUAGACCCAUGACUCAUGACUCAACUGGUCCUGUGGCCACCCCACCCAGAGGUGGACUAAGCACAAGAGGA
Long non-coding RNA from Homo sapiens (human), 1147 nucleotides. RefSeq lists it as uncharacterized. Lineage: Eukaryota; Metazoa; Chordata; Mammalia; Primates; Hominidae. The transcript has 3 exons. The record is from RefSeq and is a predicted model, not a curated record.